Molecule: long non-coding RNA, 735 nt
Organism: Arabidopsis lyrata subsp. lyrata
Lineage: Eukaryota; Viridiplantae; Streptophyta; Magnoliopsida; Brassicales; Brassicaceae
Exons: 2
Source: RefSeq, a predicted model, not a curated record
ACUUUUCUUCUGGCUGUAGCAAGCUCUCAUCCUUAGUUUUUUUUUUUUAAUCCAAUUUUUUGUUUUCUUCUUCUAACUCAUUGUAGAAAAAAAAGUUUCCCUAGGGCUUGGCAAGAAGAUGGAUCGCUAGGAUCUGUAUCAACGUAGUGUGGUGAUAGUAGCAUGUUCGUUAAUUAUUCGGUGAUAUUGUGAUUGAAGAUGGACAGACUCAGCAGUCUGCCUGAUGAGAUUAUUUGCCACAUUGUUUUGUCCUUCCUUUCUGCAAAGGAGGCUGUUUUCGCAUCAGUUCUCUCAAAGAGGUGGAGGAAUCUCUUUACCAUCAUUCCCGGUCGUCAUUUCGCUAAUAUCUAUCAUUUCCGAAGCGAAUUCAUGGAUUCUGUGGAUUUUGUAUUGGCUUUACCGCUCAGUACCCGCAUAGGGAGAUUCUCUCUAAAAAAAAGUAUUCCAGGGAUUGGCGAACCAGCUCACUAUGAUCAUAUCAACCGUUGUAUAUCCAAUGUGCUGAAGCAUGGUGUCGUGGAUGUUGAUAUCCGCUUAAGUGUUGGAAACGAAUUUUCACUGCCUUCAGAGAUCUUCACUUGCAAAACAAUUGUUGUAGAACUUUGAACUCUCAAAGUGUUUAAGGAUCGGACAACACAGAUUUUACUCUGUUUUGUCUUACCUCUCUGUUUUGUAUAACGUAAAACCACACACUUUUAUUAGAUAUAUAAACUGUAUUUAUAGUUUUACAUGACA